CAUUAGCUGGCGGUCCAGGAGCCGUGAAUGACGCACAGCCGGCGCCAGGUUCAAAGUGCCGUCUCUCCCCCCCUCCGCCGCUGCCACAGCCGCCAGAGUGUGACUGAGCCGCGGGUUGUAACGCCCGAUCCCACCCCCCCACCCCCCGCAGCCGCCGGAGUUAACUGUUAACUGACGCUGAGCAGCGGCCAGUAAUGCCCAUGCCCACUCCCCAUCUCCCUGCCAGCGCAGCAGCUUAAAUUCCACCCUACCCCUAAGCUUAGUGACCCGCGGCCUGUAAUGCCCUCCCCACCUCCACCGGAGCACUGUCUGCAAGUGAAUGAUGGUCCGAGGCCCUAUCCUAACCGUGGCACACCCCUGGGCGUCUGGCAGGAGAGUCAACUCGCCCUCCACAUGAAGACCUCCAGCAGCAGAAGGAAGAACCAGGCAGCCAGAAUGCAAGCAGGACAGUGUGCAUUGCAGACAGAGACACAGGAGUAUCAUGAGCUGCCAACACAGCUUCCCAACCAAAGGAGAUAUAUGAGGUAGUAGAGAACUGUAAUUGACGCAGGGAUCCCAGCUUCUCCCCCCUUUCACUCCAUACACAGCAGGCUAGGUUGAUGUGCCUGGGUCCUGUGUAACCUGUUAUCUGAUUGGAGCAUCCUCGAGUCCUGUCCCAGUGUAUAAGUAGUACAGAGGCUGCUGCUACAUUUGCAUGUGACAAGCUAGAUAUGCUGUAGAUUUUAUUUUUCUAUGUGUAUUUUAAGGUUAAGUUGACUUUGUUUCACUGCAAGAAAACUUUAUGAAUUA
Molecule: long non-coding RNA, 789 nt
Organism: Pseudophryne corroboree (corroboree frog)
Lineage: Eukaryota; Metazoa; Chordata; Amphibia; Anura; Myobatrachidae
Exons: 2
Source: RefSeq, a predicted model, not a curated record